CCUACGUGUGGCAGCAGUGGGGAAUAUUGGACAAUGGGCGAAAGCCUGAUCUAGCCAUGCCGCGUGUGUGAAGAAGGCCUUCGGGUUGUAAAGCACUUUCAGUGGGGAAGAAAGCCUUGGGGCUAAUACCCUCGAGGAAGGACAUCACCCACAGAAGAAGCACCGGCUAACUCCGUGCCAGCAGCCGCGGUAAUACGGAGGGUGCGAGCGUUAAUCGGAAUUACUGGGCGUAAAGCGCGCGUAGGCGGUCUGAUAAGCCGGUUGUGAAAGCCCCGGGCUCAACCUGGGAACGGCAUCCGGAACUGUCAGGCUAGAGUGCAGGAGAGGAAGGUAGAAUUCCCGGUGUAGCGGUGAAAUGCGUAGAGAUCGGGAGGAAUACCAGUGGCGAAGGCGGCCUUCUGGACUGACACUGACGCUGAGGUGCGAAAGCGUGGGUAGCAAACAGGAUUAGAUACCCUAGUAGUC
This 465-nucleotide ribosomal RNA is filed under the name Vreelandella stevensii. RNAcentral's name for it is "partial 16S ribosomal RNA". It matches the Rfam family "Bacterial small subunit ribosomal RNA", at positions 338 to 795 of the family's 1533-position model. Lineage: Bacteria; Pseudomonadati; Pseudomonadota; Gammaproteobacteria; Oceanospirillales; Halomonadaceae. The record is from RNAcentral.